CCUUCCCUUCCUGUGCAGGUGGUGGUGCCCUCUGCGCCUUCACUGGGGCCCAGCCAAGUAACUGAAUCCAGCCAGGAGCAAGGGCAGACGCUGGCACAGGUCCUGCCACUGUCCCCAACCUGGGUUUCAACACAGCUGAGGCCUGGCAUAGUCUUUCUGGGCGCCUCUGGCUGGCUCGGUCUGAAAGGCGCGGCCAGGUCACAGUCGGCACCAGAAGUUUGGCAGAUCUCAGUGAGGCGUUAGUUUGCAUUUCCUUGUGACGGGGACACUGCAGCGGUGUAUGCCCAGAUCAGCAUGAGCAUGCCCAGAUGCUCCAGGGUCCAGCACAAUGACCACACCCAGCCCCUCUGUUACCUGCAGUGAGCACUGGUGAAGGGGAAUGAGGAAGGCCCUGCUGCAGGGUGGGCAGCGUGGAGGGAGGGACUCGAAGGGACCGCGGGUCUGCUUUCUCGGGGAGGGACCAUGGGUGCAGGUGACAGGCACACCUGAGCUCCUGCGGAAUCAUCUUCCUGACUUCUCGGCUCCGGGCUCCAGGGUCCAGUCCAGCUCCCAUCCACACGGAAGGAAAAGGAUGAACAAACUGAAAAUCAACAACUCUUCUUCACCCGUCGGAGAACUGAGUCACCAGGCAAAGCACGGCCCCCAAAUCUGGAGACACAGACAGGUGGGUUCCGAGAACCUCAGCUGACAGGAGCAGAACCUCUGCGGGGCCAGUGCCAGGGACUUGAGCUGCCCCUCAUGAAUUUCUGGAGAUGCCACCUGGACAAGUGAGAGAAAAACUCCAGGGGAACCCAGUCAUGGGGGACCUGCGCUUGGUGAAUUUUACCUCCGAGAGCUCGACCAGGUUCCCACAUUAGAGAGGAAAAAUCGGCCAGGCGCGGUGGCUCACGCCUGGAAUCCCAGCACUUUGAGAGGCCGAGGCAGGCCAAUUGCCUGAGCUCAGGAGUUUGAGUCUACCCUGGGCAACAUGGUGAAACCUCAUCUCUACUAAAAUACAAAAAAUUAGCCGGGCGUGGUGGCGCGUGCCUAUAGUCCCAGCUACUCAGGAGGCUGAGGCAGGAGAAUCGCUUGAACCCAAAGGCAGAGGUUGCAGUGAGCCAAGAUCGCGCCACUGCACUCCAGCCUGGGUGACAGAGGGUGACCUUGUCUCAAAAAAAAAAAAAAGGGAGGGAGGAAAUAUCCCCUUUUACUUACAGCCAGGGGAAAAGGAUUAUUUUGAAAUACACCCUGUUCUCAUGAGGGCUGCUUUAGGGGGAAUUAUUUCACCAGAGUCUAACAGACCCAAGUUUUUCAUCAGUCUAACCUACUUGGGGAAAAGCAAACCCCAACUCCAGCCCCCUCUGGCCUUCCAGUCCCACCCAAGGGGGAAGGGGAGAUACAAACUCAGCAGCACUUUGUGAGGUCAUGGCACAGGGCACAGGCUCUGGAAACUCUGGUCCUAAAUCAUAGGGCCGUGCGCACACCUUCCAACCACCACAGUUCCCUGUCUACAGGCCCCUCUGCAAUAACGGGUGAUUCCCAAGAAGAAUGCUUGUUUCAGGCCUGACUCUAGGAGAACUGCCUUUCUGAUGUUAAGGUGUCAGAGGGCUGGCUUCUAAACCCUGGGUUAAAUCAUUUAGUGGCACAUUUAGCCAUCACCCUGUGAGAGUUCAGAAAGGACGCACGUUCACAUGCACAGAAACAGUAAACAGGCCGGCGCCGUGGCUCACGCCUGUAAUCCCAGCACUUUGGGAGGCCGGAGGCGGGCCGAUUGCUUGAGCCUAGGAGUUCGAGACCUGCCUGGGCAACGUGGCGAGAGCCCUCCCACACAAAAACUACAAAAAUUAGCUGGGCAUGAUGGUGCAUCCCUGCAGUCCCGACUACUUGGGAGGCUGAGGCAGAAGAAUCACUUGAGUCUGAGAGGUGAAGGCUGCAGUAAGCCGAGAUUGCCCCGAUCCACUCCAAUGUGGGCCGCGGGAGUAAAACCCUGUCUCAAAAAAAAAA
Long non-coding RNA from Pan troglodytes (chimpanzee), 1983 nucleotides. RefSeq lists it as uncharacterized. The record is from RefSeq and is a predicted model, not a curated record. NCBI's taxonomy places the organism in Eukaryota, Metazoa, Chordata, Mammalia, Primates, Hominidae. The transcript is spliced from 3 exons.